Molecule: ribosomal RNA, 492 nt
Filed under: uncultured bacterium
Lineage: Bacteria
Description: partial 16S ribosomal RNA
Rfam family: Bacterial small subunit ribosomal RNA
Source: RNAcentral
AGUGAACGCUGGCGGUAGGCCUAACACAUGCAAGUCGAACGGCAGCACAGUAAGAGCUUGCUCUUACGGGUGGCGAGUGGCGGACGGGUGAGGAAUACAUCGGAAUCUACUUUUUCGUGGGGGAUAACGUAGGGAAACUUACGCUAAUACCGCAUACGACCUACGGGUGAAAGCAGGGGAUCCUCGGACCUUGCGCGAUUGAAUGAGCCGAUGUCGGAUUAGCUAGUUGGCGGGGUAAAGGCCCACCAAGGCGACGAUCCGUAGCUGGUCUGAGAGGAUGAUCAGCCACCCUGGAACGUAGACACGGUCCAGACUCCUACGGGAGGCAGCAGUGGGGUAUAUUGGACAAUGGGCGCAAGCCUGAUCCAGCCAUACCGCGUGGGUGAAGAAGGCCUUCGGGUUGUAAAGCCCUUUUGUUGGGAGAGAAAAGCAGCAGGUUAAUACCCCGCUGUUCUGACGGUACCCAAAGAAGAAGCACCGGCUAACUUCGUG